This 302-nucleotide unclassified non-coding RNA is filed under the name uncultured fungus. Its description in RNAcentral is "partial contains small subunit ribosomal RNA, internal transcribed spacer 1, and 5.8S ribosomal RNA". The stretch from base 1 to 73 matches the Rfam family "Eukaryotic small subunit ribosomal RNA", at positions 1759 to 1831 of the family's 1831-position model. The record is from RNAcentral. Lineage: Eukaryota; Fungi.
ACAAACUUGGUCAUUUAGAGGAAGUAAAAGUCGUAACAAGGUCUCCGUUGGUGAACCAGCGGAGGGAUCAUUACCGAGUUAUUACUCCAAACCCAUUGUGAACCUUACCUUCUAUUUCUGUUGCCUCGGCGGUGGCUCCGCUGGCCUCCCUCCCUCGUAAUAGGGGGAGGAGCCGGCGCCCCGCCGGCAGCACCAAACUCUUGGAUUUUAUAGCGGACUACAAGCUCUGAUUACUAUAAAGAAAAUGAAUCAAAACUUUCAACAACGGAUCUCUUGGUUCUGGCAUCGAUGAAGAACGCAGC